Molecule: non-coding RNA, 90 nt
Organism: Hymenopellis radicata
Lineage: Eukaryota; Fungi; Basidiomycota; Agaricomycetes; Agaricales; Physalacriaceae
Source: the annotation of a GenBank genome assembly
AGCUCUCUGGUGUAGUGGGCAUACCUGCGUUUCAGCUCUACGCGUAGGCUGAAACAGAGGAGGUCGUAAGUUCGAUUCUUACGAGAGCUA